UGCCAACUGGGUGUCUGCACUGAGUUCGGCAUCAAUAUGGUAACUUUCUGGGAGCAGGGGCCCACCAGGUUGCCUAAGGAUGAGUGAACUGGCCCAGAUCAGAGAGGGAGCAGGUCAGAACUCCCGCACUGACCGGUAAUGUGACUGUGCCUGGGCA
Molecule: non-coding RNA, 157 nt
Organism: Chlorocebus sabaeus (green monkey)
Lineage: Eukaryota; Metazoa; Chordata; Mammalia; Primates; Cercopithecidae
Rfam family: Metazoan signal recognition particle RNA
About the family: The signal recognition particle (SRP) is a universally conserved ribonucleoprotein. It is involved in the co-translational targeting of proteins to membranes. The eukaryotic SRP consists of a 300-nucleotide 7S RNA and six proteins: SRPs 72, 68, 54, 19, 14, and 9.
Source: Rfam